Molecule: long non-coding RNA, 513 nt
Filed under: Mytilus galloprovincialis (Mediterranean mussel)
Lineage: Eukaryota; Metazoa; Mollusca; Bivalvia; Mytilida; Mytilidae
Source: RNAcentral
GGGUUCGUUAGUUCAUAAUAAAAUACAAGUGACUGUUGAAUUAACCUGAGCCAGGCAUGCAUGACUAGUCCUAGUUAGCUGGGUUAGUUAUCGUCACACUAUUUUUAUCAAUAUUCCAGAAUUUAAAAUAAUUCCAGAUUCAAUAAUUCCUUGUUUGGAGUCGACUACAAUUAUUAUUCACACCUGUCUUAAAAAAUUAUUUUAUUGUCAAUAUUUGAAAUGAUAUGCUCUGCUUGAAACAGCAUUAUCCGGCCACAGAGUUCGAUUCUGAACAGUUGGGGUAAGUAUGACCACUACAUUCUAGCUAGAUACAGCUCUGAAUUUGGAUUUUAAUCAAAUAUUUGACUCAUCAUAGGAUUUGUCACAUAAUGAAUGUGGUCAAAGAAAUGAAAAAUUUAGAAUUUAAACUUUUACCUAUUAUGGUUCGAUAUUGAAAAUCUAGAUACAUGGUUCGAUUCAGUAUUUCCAAUAACACUAAGAAUUGAAUCUAUCUAUUUAUUAAUGUAAAAUAUU